CCUGCAGCGACGUUUUCCUAGUCUGACUCCCUUUCUCAAACCUUUGUAUGACUCCCGCCUCCCCUCCUUCUCCCACCGCCCCCCCCGCCCCAUUCCGUUUUGUUAAGUCCUCACUCAGGAGGUGGAUCGCCCUUGACCUCCCUCCAGGGAGAGCAGAGACGGAAUACAAAGGCAGAAGUAUAUGCAGUUAGUGAGGCAUCAGAACGUUUGGGGAGAAAGAACGACAGGGAUUGCAACAGAGAUUUCAACAGAGCGAGGCCUAACAGUCUGUGAGAGGAAGAAUAGAGAGGGAGGGAAACAAAAUGAUGCGUAUGAACAGAGAGGAGGAAACACAGAAAUGGACACAAAAGGAGAGGAGAGAAACAGAGGACCCAGGGAGACAUAUACAGGAAACAAAGCACGUGGUGGUGGAGAAAGCGGGAACCCAAACCCAGAAUCAUCUUACCUGAAGAAUCUAACAAGAAAUUCAGAGGAGGAGGAAAGAAGAAGGAAUGGAGCUUUCACAGGGACUGUUUAUGUUCAAGGAUGUGGCCACAGAAUUCUCUCAGGAGGAGUGGGAAUGCCUGGACCCUGCUCAGAGGGCCUUGUAUAGGGACGUGAUGGUGGAGACCUACAGGAACCUGGUCUCCCUGGAUUCAAAAAAUCACUGACAAGAUAUCAAGGAGCUUACUAUGCUUUCUUCUAGGAGUUUUUUUUUUCAGGAAGCCAUUCUGCUAGACUUGCAAUCAAGGAAUUAACACCAAGAGAAAGACACUGAUAAAGGAGAAUUAUGCCAUGUAGUGGUACUGGAAAGAAAUCAAAACCAUGGCAUCAAGGAUUUUGACCUCGAGGAAGUCUGUGCAGAUGUGCAGGAGUGUGAGAGUGAGUGGGGCUACGAUGCAAGAAAUGACGAAGAAGUGCUUUUGACUCAUAACAAAAAUCUCAGAGAGAAGAUCAAGAUAAUAAGUCCUUAAUUAAUUUUCCUCAGAGUGUUUCUGUACGAAGUAAUGCACGUGAAUAUUUCACACACGACAAGCCAUCCAUAAGAAGUUUGUUAACAACGAAAAAUAACGUCAGCGAGAGUUCCUCCUAGU
Non-coding RNA from Delphinapterus leucas (beluga whale), 1073 nucleotides. NCBI's taxonomy places the organism in Eukaryota, Metazoa, Chordata, Mammalia, Artiodactyla, Monodontidae. The record is from RefSeq and is a predicted model, not a curated record.